GGCACCGUCUGGCCCCGCCGGCUGAUUACAGCCAGAGAUCGAGGGGGACCUCGCUGUCCCCCUAGAGGCCGUCAUGCGGGGUUACAGAGGCUGCGACCAAAGUCAUUCCUAGCUCCUCUCUCGGGGCUCCGGAAAGCCGUCCGCGCCUCCAGCCGCACUUUCAGCGCACGCAGGACCUGCCGCGCCCGGUGGCCACACCCGUCCCUCUGCCGGGUGACGCUGCGGGAGAUCUUGCGCCCUGGGGCUCCGGAUCCAGUUCUGGCACGUUGUUGCACCUGUGACUUGUCCUUGGCCUGGCACUGUCCCUCGCCUGGGGGAAGCGGGGGGGUGGGGGGGGGAUGCUCACGUGGUCGCUUUGCUCCCGCAGUCAUGCACUUGGGUGAAAACAGACUGAAGAGUCACGGGAACCAGCUUGUCUCCCCAGUUAUGGCGCAGAGCUGCAAGGAUGGCUGUGGGUCAUUAAUUUCUCCGUGGCUGACCUGUGUUUGUAACGCCGCAGCUGUUGCGAGGGGGAAGGACACUGCUUCGGAUUCAAAUUCUGACUCCUUGCUGCAGUGUGUCACCUUGAGCCAGUCCCAGAUCUCUGCGUUCUCACAAUUGUAAAAUGUUAACAGAGGCUGCCUACCUUGUGGCUGGAAUUAAAUGAAUUAACGUGUGUGAAUGUGACUAGAAUUCAGUACAUGUUCAGGAAAAGCUGAUUUCCGCUUUGCUGUUACCGUGAAUAUUACUGUUUUAGGGUGUAGAAAAGGGUGGAAGGGGAUGUUAUUGCAUCCUGGAAGCUUAUCCUUUUGAGGUAAAGAUUGAUUUCUGGUCCCCUGCGUGGUAUAUAGUGUAGUUUUGACAUUAUUUAGAUGUGUUAUGCACAUUUGGGUGUUGAUUAUAUGGCUUACGAUCAAGACUAACCAGUCAUGCCGUGGGAGAUUAAGGUCGUGGUCUCUUGUCAGGAUUGUAGUGAGAUUUAAAAAUUCCAGCCAGAAAUACCAGGCUUAGAAUGCUCUGAAGCCCUCCCCACAUUUUUGCCAUCUCUAGCAGGAGGGCACUGCAUAGCAGAAACAAAGACGUUGUAAAUUGUUGCUGCCUGAGUCAUUUAUAGAGGCUUAAACAACCUGAAUGUCCUCUGACCUACCUGUAACAUUUGAUGGAGUUGUAUGAGUAACUUACAAAGCUGUAGGUCCCAAGGUCGGUCUGAAAAAGAAAGUUCAUAUCCGGGAGCACUGACCCCGUAGUGUAAUCCUGGCACCUUAAAACGUACUGCUCCCUCCACCUUCACUUCAAGGUUAUGAAAACAUUGAGUAAAAGGGAUGAUCUGUUCAAAGUCCUUAGUGUUCUGCCAAUUUAAAACAGUAAUUUUCAAAGCAGUUAUUUGCAAGGAAAUUGCCUAGAACUUCUCCCAGUGUGCGGUUGUUUUGUGUGUUUGUGUGUGUGUUUUGUUUGUUUGUUUUCAGUCUGUCCACAGGCGUACUUUUAUAGGUCUGUGAUAGUAGGUAGCUCUUCAAGUUGGCAAACACCUGCUGGACAACCCCUGAGAGAUUCAUCUGAGUGAGAGAGCACUCUCCAGCCCCAUCGGAGUGGGUUUGCAGGGAAAUCAUAAGGAAGAAAUCCUUAUCUUUCCAACACUGAGAUGCUUCUGCCGAAGAGUAGAAUGGGAGUGAGGGGACACGCAAAACGGGCUGCUGCCGGAGGAAGAGGAACAGUGUUGUGGCUCAUGCCAUAUGAAUGGGCUCACUGGCCUGGCCCAGACCCUGACUGCCCACAGGAUCUUUGACAGAGAAACGGAGGCACAGAGAAGGAAGCGGCAGUUAAAGCUGCGAAGAACCUAACAAAUUUCAAGAUUGUAAGUGCCUUUUCCCAGGAUGCCAGCAAGUACUGAGCCUGUAUUUUGAGCUGCAUCAAACCCUGUUGGAAUAAAAAAGGACAUUUCUAGGAGAUCAGUCUUCGAGAUUGGCCCCAGUUUCCCCAGAGUAGGAAGAGGCAGGAAGCCAGAGCACAUGUUCUCUCCAGAAAUAAAGUUGUUGCAGUGGC
RNAcentral lists this long non-coding RNA (2022 nucleotides) under Homo sapiens (human). Its description in RNAcentral is "non-protein coding lnc-CKAP2L-1:3". The record is from RNAcentral. Lineage: Eukaryota; Metazoa; Chordata; Mammalia; Primates; Hominidae.